GGGUUGUGAGGUUAAGCGACUAAGCGUACACGGUGGAUGCCCUGGCAGUCAGAGGCGAUGAAGGACGUGCUAAUCUGCGAAAAGCGUCGGUAAGGUGAUAUGAACCGUUAUAACCGGCGAUGUCCGAAUGGGGAAACCCAGUGCAAUUCGUUGCACUAUCGUUAACUGAAUACAUAGGUUAACGAGGCGAACCGGGGGAACUGAAACAUCUAAGUACCCCGAGGAAAAAAUCAACCGAGAUUCCCCCAGUAGCGGCGAGCGAACGGGGAGCAGCCCAGAGUCUGAAUCAGCUUGUGUGUUAGUGGAACGGUCUGGAAAGUCCGACGGUACAGGGUGAUAGUCCCGUACACCAAAAUGCACAGGCUGUGAACUCGAAGAGUAGGGCGGGACACGUGGUAUCCUGUCUGAAUAUGGGGGGACCAUCCUCCAAGGCUAAAUACUCCUGACUGACCGAUAGUGAACCAGUACCGUGAGGGAAAGGCGAAAAGAACCCCGGCGAGGGGAGUGAAAAAGAACCUGAAACCGUGUACGUACAAGCAGUGGGAGCACCUUCGGGUGUGACUGCGUACCUUUUGUAUAAUGGGUCAGCGACUUAUAUUCUGUAGCAAGGUUAACCGUAUAGGGGAGCCGCAGGGAAACCGAGUCUUAACUGGGCGUUAAGUUGCAGGGUAUAGACCCGAAACCCGGUGAUCUAGCCAUGGGCAGGUUGAAGGUUGGGUAACACUAACUGGAGGACCGAACCGACUAAUGUUGAAAAAUUAGCGGAUGACUUGUGGCUGGGGGUGAAAGGCCAAUCAAACCGGGAGAUAGCUGGUUCUCCCCGAAAGCUAUUUAGGUAGCGCCUCGUGAACUCAUCUUCGGGGGUAGAGCACUGUUUCGGCUAGGGGGUCAUCCCGACUUACCAACCCGAUGCAAACUACGAAUACCGAAGAAUGUUAUCACGGGAGACACACGGCGGGUGCUAACGUCCGUCGUGAAGAGGGAAACAACCCAGACCGCCAGCUAAGGUCCCAAAGUCAUGGUUAAGUGGGAAACGAUGUGGGAAGGCACAGACAGCCAGGAUGUUGGCUUAGAAGCAGCCAUCAUUUAAAGAAAGCGUAAUAGCUCACUGGUCGAGUCGGCCUGCGCGGAAGAUGUAACGGGGCUAAACCAUGCACCGAAGCUGCGGCAGCGACACUAUGUGUUGUUGGGUAGGGGAGCGUUCUGUAAGCCUGCGAAGGUGUGCUGUGAGGCAUGCUGGAGGUAUCAGAAGUGCGAAUGCUGACAUAAGUAACGAUAAAGCGGGUGAAAAGCCCGCUCGCCGGAAGACCAAGGGUUCCUGUCCAACGUUAAUCGGGGCAGGGUGAGUCGACCCCUAAGGCGAGGCCGAAAGGCGUAGUCGAUGGGAAACAGGUUAAUAUUCCUGUACUUGGUGUUACUGCGAAGGGGGGACGGAGAAGGCUAUGUUAGCCGGGCGACGGUUGUCCCGGUUUAAGCAUGUAGGCUGGUUAUCCAGGCAAAUCCGGAUAAUCAAGGCUGAGGUGUGAUGACGAGGCACUACGGUGCUGAAGUAACAAAUGCCCUGCUUCCAGGAAAAGCCUCUAAGCAUCAGGUAACAUCAAAUCGUACCCCAAACCGACACAGGUGGUCAGGUAGAGAAUACCAAGGCGCUUGAGAGAACUCGGGUGAAGGAACUAGGCAAAAUGGUGCCGUAACUUCGGGAGAAGGCACGCUGGUGUGUAGGUGAAGUCCCUGCGGAUGGAGCUGAGACCAGUCGAAGAUACCAGCUGGCUGCAACUGUUUAUUAAAAACACAGCACUGUGCAAACACGAAAGUGGACGUAUACGGUGUGACGCCUGCCCGGUGCCGGAAGGUUAAUUGAUGGGGUUAUCCGUAAGGAGAAGCUCUUGAUCGAAGCCCCGGUAAACGGCGGCCGUAACUAUAACGGUCCUAAGGUAGCGAAAUUCCUUGUCGGGUAAGUUCCGACCUGCACGAAUGGCGUAAUGAUGGCCAGGCUGUCUCCACCCGAGACUCAGUGAAAUUGAACUCGCUGUGAAGAUGCAGUGUACCCGCGGCAAGACGGAAAGACCCCGUGAACCUUUACUAUAGCUUGACACUGAACAUUGAGCCUUGAUGUGUAGGAUAGGUGGGAGGCUUUGAAGCGUGGACGCCAGUCUGCGUGGAGCCAACCUUGAAAUACCACCCUUUAAUGUUUGAUGUUCUAACGUUGGCCCCUUACCGGGGUUGCGGACAGUGUCUGGUGGGUAGUUUGACUGGGGCGGUCUCCUCCCAAAGCGUAACGGAGGAGCACGAAGGUUAGCUAAUCCUGGUCGGACAUCAGGAGGUUAGUGCAAUGGCAUAAGCUAGCUUGACUGCGAGCGUGACGGCGCGAGCAGGUGCGAAAGCAGGUCAUAGUGAUCCGGUGGUUCUGAAUGGAAGGGCCAUCGCUCAACGGAUAAAAGGUACUCCGGGGAUAACAGGCUGAUACCGCCCAAGAGUUCAUAUCGACGGCGGUGUUUGGCACCUCGAUGUCGGCUCAUCACAUCCUGGGGCUGAAGUAGGUCCCAAGGGUAUGGCUGUUCGCCAUUUAAAGUGGUACGCGAGCUGGGUUUAGAACGUCGUGAGACAGUUCGGUCCCUAUCUGCCGUGGGCGCUGGAGAAUUGAGGGGGGCUGCUCCUAGUACGAGAGGACCGGAGUGGACGCAUCACUGGUGUUCGGGUUGUCAUGCCAAUGGCACUGCCCGGUAGCUAAAUGCGGAAGAGAUAAGUGCUGAAAGCAUCUAAGCACGAAACUUGCCCCGAGAUGAGUUCUCCCUGAGACUUUAAGUCUCCUGAAGGAACGUUGAAGACGACGACGUUGAUAGGCCGGGUGUGUAAGCGCAGCGAUGCGUUGAGCUAACCGGUACUAAUGAACCGUGAGGCUUAACCUUACAACGCCGAAG
RNAcentral lists this ribosomal RNA (2921 nucleotides) under Klebsiella pneumoniae. Its description in RNAcentral is "bacterial LSU rRNA". It matches the Rfam family "Bacterial large subunit ribosomal RNA". The record is from RNAcentral. Lineage: Bacteria; Pseudomonadati; Pseudomonadota; Gammaproteobacteria; Enterobacterales; Enterobacteriaceae.